UUGGUAUAUUGUUUUGCCCUUCAAUAGCCGAAGCUAGAGAAGUUUAUUGGCGGCUUUAUUUCAAGGGUGCCUUUGUCGUUGAACCGAAGUUCGUUGACGCCAGCGGGUUAAAAUAAGAAAGCAACAGGAUGUGUGCUAACCAGUUAUAGCACUAAGGCCGUCUGGGGCAUCCAUCACAGUUGGUAGUUCCACGGGUCAACAUCGAUCCCAAGCCGAAGCCUGAAGAUCUCCGUUUUAAGUUGGGUGUGGUAAUGAUCCUUCCGCAGGUUCACCUACGGAAA
Molecule: unclassified non-coding RNA, 281 nt
Filed under: uncultured fungus
Lineage: Eukaryota; Fungi
Description: sequence contains ITS1
Source: RNAcentral